UUUAAUUGAAGAGUUUGAUCAUGGCUCAGAUUGAACGCUGGCGGCAGGCUUAACACAUGCAAGUCGAGCGGUAGCACAGGGGAGCUUGCUCCCCGGGUGACGAGCGGCGGACGGGUGAGUAAUGUCUGGGAAACUGCCUGAUGGAGGGGGAUAACUACUGGAAACGGUAG
This 170-nucleotide ribosomal RNA is filed under the name Serratia marcescens. RNAcentral's name for it is "partial 16S ribosomal RNA". It matches the Rfam family "Bacterial small subunit ribosomal RNA", at positions 1 to 162 of the family's 1533-position model. The record is from RNAcentral. Lineage: Bacteria; Pseudomonadati; Pseudomonadota; Gammaproteobacteria; Enterobacterales; Yersiniaceae.